UACGAAGGGGGCUAGCGUUGCUCGGAAUCACUGGGCGUAAAGGGUGCGUAGGCGGGUUCUUAAGUCAGAGGUGAAAUCCUGGAGCUCAACUCCAGAACUGCCUUUGAUACUGAGAGUCUUGGGUUCGGGAGAGGUGAGUGGAACUGCGAGUGUAGAGGUGAAAUUCGUAGAUAUUCGCAAGAACACCAGUGGCGAAGGCGGCUCACUGGCCCGAUACUGACGCUGAGGCACGAAAGCGUGGGGAGCAAACAGG
Molecule: ribosomal RNA, 253 nt
Filed under: uncultured bacterium
Lineage: Bacteria
Description: partial 16S ribosomal RNA
Rfam family: Bacterial small subunit ribosomal RNA
Source: RNAcentral